RNAcentral lists this long non-coding RNA (498 nucleotides) under Ananas comosus (pineapple). RNAcentral describes it as "long non-coding RNA (ACOM_LNC004738)". Lineage: Eukaryota; Viridiplantae; Streptophyta; Magnoliopsida; Poales; Bromeliaceae. The record is from RNAcentral.
UUUAAUUCUAUUUUCCUUUUUUAUUUUUACAAGUAUUUUUUUGGCUAAAUUACAGAAAACCCUUCGGUCAAUGCCCGCUUUUUCAUUUUUCCCCUGUCAUUCAAAAAGCUAUACUUUAUCCUCCUCACUUUGACCUCCGCCGUUAGUGUUCCUUUAGAGUUUCGUUUAUGUCCUAUUGAUGAGCUAGUUCACCGAAGCCACAAAAUCUAGAUUUAAAUUUUCAAAAUGAUUUUUUGUAUUUAGAUAAAGAAAACAUUUAUUUAUUAUGUUUCUUUAUCUCAAUUUGGAUACCAUAAUUUGAAUUUGAGAUCAUUAAACUUUGGACUUGAUACCAUUGAAAAUUUAUCUGCUUUCUUGUUUGCUAAAUAGGAUCACAAGUAAAGUUGGUUCUUUAAGUGCUAAACUCUAAAAUUUUCCACCUUUAUACACUCACCACAAUCUUAACCUCCUCUAUUUUCCUGCAACUCGACGAAUCAAAACAAAGAAGCACUUGCUACC